GAUGAACGCUAGCUACAGGCUUAACACAUGCAAGUCGAGGGGAAACGACAUCGAAAGCUUGCUUUUGAUGGGCGUCGACCGGCGCACGGGUGAGUAACGCGUAUCCAACCUGCCCAUCACUUGGGGAUAACCUUGCGAAGGUAAGACUAAUACCCAAUGAUAUCUCUAGAAGACAUCUGAAAGAGAUUAAAGAUUUAUCGGUGAUGGAUGGGGAUGCGUCUGAUUAGCUUGUUGGCGGGGUAACGGCCCACCAAGGCAACGAUCAGUAGGGGUUCUGAGAGGAAGGUCCCCCACAUUGGAACUGAGACACGGUCCAAACUCCUACGGGAGGCAGCAGUGAGGAAUAUUGGUCAAUGGGCGAGAGCCUGAACCAGCCAAGUAGCGUGCAGGAAGACGGCCCUAUGGGUUGUAAACUGCUUUUAUAAGGGAAUAAAGUGAGAGUCGUGACUCUUUUUGUAUGUACCUUAUGAAUAAGGACCGGCUAAUUCCGUG
This 492-nucleotide ribosomal RNA is filed under the name uncultured bacterium. RNAcentral's name for it is "partial 16S ribosomal RNA". It matches the Rfam family "Bacterial small subunit ribosomal RNA", at positions 28 to 507 of the family's 1533-position model. The record is from RNAcentral.